GAAGUUUGCAUGGUUCUCUUGGCGUAUCUGAAUCAUACCGGACAAGAGCUCGCCCACAUUCAACAAGGACACAAACAAGAGCAAGAUGCAUGCGCAGAGUGGCAAGGAGAAAAAUGGCCUGAGGUCAACAGUGUAGCAGCAACAAUGCAGAAGCCACAGAACAGGUGAAAGCGGUUGACACUCAACUUCGGUGAGGAACAGAUAUGGCCAGGAGGCCCAACGCUGACUUCCUGUAGCUGACUGGCUCCAAUGCGAGGGUGAAGUAAUUUCUUUCCUCUGUGAUUUAUUUGCUGACCAUCAGUAAGCAAAACUACUAUGAAGAAAGGAAGAAAGCACGAUUCACAGUGAAUCCUUCUCAAGAACACGACUCCAGAGUGACAGAGCAGGUAAAACGGGGUCCUAUGUACCAAGAAGCUUGAAAAUCAAGCUCCAUGUUCAUACCUAUUUCCGUGUAAUAACAACAGAGUUUUUAGUAAAACUCUGUGCCAGGUACAUAAUGCGAAGGGCUUUACGUGCAUUAUCUCACUGCACCAGAAGGAUCAUCCACAUUUUACAGAUGAAGACACUGCGCUUUACAGGGGUUAAAAAACCUGCCGAAGAAAUACAACGGCAGACUCAAGGCACCUGCACUGCUCGGCCUCCAAAGACCAGUCCUGGACGCCCAUUCUCCAGGGUUCACUAUGCCUGCACAAAAGCCUCCUGCCUGGAAAUGCACACAGGAUAAUGAGACACUAUCAAUGAGAGCUGAACAUGGCCUUUUUGUUACAAUCCUAUCUUAAAUUUCUUUUAAAUGCAUUCAUCUCUUCAUAUUAGUAUGUAAAAUAGCCCCAACUGAGCCCUUCUUUUUUUUUUUUUUUUAAGAUUUUAUUUAUUUAUUUGACAGA
Lutra lutra (Eurasian river otter) is the source of this 884-nucleotide long non-coding RNA. RefSeq lists it as uncharacterized. The transcript has 3 exons. The record is from RefSeq and is a predicted model, not a curated record. NCBI's taxonomy places the organism in Eukaryota, Metazoa, Chordata, Mammalia, Carnivora, Mustelidae.